RNAcentral lists this ribosomal RNA (421 nucleotides) under uncultured bacterium. RNAcentral describes it as "bacterial SSU rRNA". It matches the Rfam family "Bacterial small subunit ribosomal RNA", at positions 356 to 773 of the family's 1533-position model. The record is from RNAcentral.
GGGGAAUUUUGCGCAACGGGCGAAGGCCUGACGCAGCAACGCCGCGUGUGUGACGAAGGCCCUAGGGUUGUAAAGCACUGUGGGAAGGGAAGAAAAAACGGGGGUUGUACCCCGUCUUGACGGUACCUUGUUAGAAAGCACCGGCUAACUCCGUGCCAGCAGCCGCGGUAAUACGGAGGGUGCAAGCGUUGUUCGGAAUUAUUGGGCGUAAAGGGCGUGUAGGUGGCUUGCCAAGUCUGGUGUGAAAGCCCACGGCUCAACCGUGGAACUGCAUUGGAAACUGGCAAGCUCGAGUGUUGGAGGGGGUCGCGGAAUUCCCGGUGUAGAGGUGAAAUUCGUAGAUAUCGGGAGGAACACCAGUGGCGAAGGCGGCGACCUGGCCAAUCACUGACACUGAGACGCGAAAGCGUGGGGAGCAAAC